This 464-nucleotide ribosomal RNA is filed under the name uncultured bacterium. Its description in RNAcentral is "partial 16S ribosomal RNA". It matches the Rfam family "Bacterial small subunit ribosomal RNA", at positions 339 to 795 of the family's 1533-position model. The record is from RNAcentral.
CUACGGGUGGCAGCAGUGGGGAAUAUUGCACAAUGGGCGCAAGCCUGAUGCAGCCAUGCCGCGUGUAUGAAGAAGGCCUUCGGGUUGUAAAGUACUUUCAGUUGUGAGGAAGGCAGUUGCGUUAAUAGCGUAAUUGUUUGACGUUAGCAACAGAAGAAGCACCGGCUAACUCCGUGCCAGCAGCCGCGGUAAUACGGAGGGUGCGAGCGUUAAUCGGAAUUACUGGGCGUAAAGCGCAUGCAGGUGGUCUGCUAAGUCAGACGUGAAAGCCCCGGGCUUAACCCGGGAUGGUCAUUUGAAACUGGCAGGCUAGAGUACUGUAGAGGGGGGUAGAAUUUCAGGUGUAGCGGUGAAAUGCGUAGAGAUCUGAAGGAAUACCGGUGGCGAAGGCGGCCCCCUGGACAGAUACUGACACUCAGAUGCGAAAGCGUGGGGAGCAAACAGGAUUAGAUACCCCUGUAGUC